Molecule: ribosomal RNA, 390 nt
Filed under: Dicrateria sp.
Lineage: Eukaryota; Haptophyta; Isochrysidales; Isochrysidaceae
Description: partial small subunit ribosomal RNA
Rfam family: Eukaryotic small subunit ribosomal RNA
Source: RNAcentral
AUUCCAGCUCCAAUAGCGUAUAUUAAAGUUGUUGCAGUUAAAACGCUCGUAGUCGGAUUUCGGGGCGGCUUCGUCGGUCUGCCGAUGGGUAUGCACUGACGCGGGCGUCCUUCCUUCCGGAGACGCGUCCUACUCUUAGCUGAGCGGGGCGUGGAGACGGAUCGUUUACUUUGAAAAAAUCAGAGUGUUUCAAGCAGGCAUCAUCGCUCUUGCAUGGAUUAGCAUGGGAUAAUGAAAUAGGACCUUGGUGCUAUUUUGUUGGUUUCGAGCACCGAAGUAAUGAUUAAUAGGGUCAGUUGGGGGUGUUCGUAUUCCGUUGUCAGAGGUGAAAUUCUUGUAUUUACGGAAGACGAACGACUGCGAAAGCAUUUGCCAGGGAUGUUUUCAUUA